Neomonachus schauinslandi (Hawaiian monk seal) is the source of this 73-nucleotide non-coding RNA. The record is from the annotation of a RefSeq genome assembly. Lineage: Eukaryota; Metazoa; Chordata; Mammalia; Carnivora; Phocidae.
GCCUGGCUGGCUCAGUUGGUAGAGCAUGUGACUUUCAAUCUCAGGGUUGUGAGUUCAAGCCCCACAUUGGAUA